This 1094-nucleotide ribosomal RNA is filed under the name Bacillus sp. NCCP-2636. RNAcentral's name for it is "bacterial SSU rRNA". It matches the Rfam family "Bacterial small subunit ribosomal RNA", at positions 56 to 1135 of the family's 1533-position model. The record is from RNAcentral. Lineage: Bacteria; Bacillati; Bacillota; Bacilli; Caryophanales; Bacillaceae.
UGCAGUCGAGCGAACAGAAGGGAGCUUGCUCCCGGAUGUUAGCGGCGGACGGGUGAGUAACACGUGGGUAACCUGCCUGUAAGACUGGGAUAACUCCGGGAAACCGGAGCUAAUACCGGAUAGUUCCUUGAACCGCAUGGUUCAAGGAUGAAAGACGGUUUCGGCUGUCACUUACAGAUGGACCCGCGGCGCAUUAGCUAGUUGGUGGGGUAAUGGCUCACCAAGGCGACGAUGCGUAGCCGACCUGAGAGGGUGAUCGGCCACACUGGGACUGAGACACGGCCCAGACUCCUACGGGAGGCAGCAGUAGGGAAUCUUCCGCAAUGGACGAAAGUCUGACGGAGCAACGCCGCGUGAGUGAUGAAGGUUUUCGGAUCGUAAAGCUCUGUUGUUAGGGAAGAACAAGUGCGAGAGUAACUGCUCGCACCUUGACGGUACCUAACCAGAAAGCCACGGCUAACUACGUGCCAGCAGCCGCGGUAAUACGUAGGUGGCAAGCGUUGUCCGGAAUUAUUGGGCGUAAAGGGCUCGCAGGCGGUUUCUUAAGUCUGAUGUGAAAGCCCCCGGCUCAACCGGGGAGGGUCAUUGGAAACUGGGAAACUUGAGUGCAGAAGAGGAGAGUGGAAUUCCACGUGUAGCGGUGAAAUGCGUAGAGAUGUGGAGGAACACCAGUGGCGAAGGCGACUCUCUGGUCUGUAACUGACGCUGAGGAGCGAAAGCGUGGGGAGCGAACAGGAUUAGAUACCCUGGUAGUCCACGCCGUAAACGAUGAGUGCUAAGUGUUAGGGGGUUUCCGCCCCUUAGUGCUGCAGCUAACGCAUUAAGCACUCCGCCUGGGGAGUACGGUCGCAAGACUGAAACUCAAAGGAAUUGACGGGGGCCCGCACAAGCGGUGGAGCAUGUGGUUUAAUUCGAAGCAACGCGAAGAACCUUACCAGGUCUUGACAUCCUCUGACAACCCUAGAGAUAGGGCUUUCCCUUCGGGGACAGAGUGACAGGUGGUGCAUGGUUGUCGUCAGCUCGUGUCGUGAGAUGUUGGGUUAAGUCCCGCAACGAGCGCAACCCUUGAUCUUAGUUGCCAGCAUUCAGUUGGG